Molecule: long non-coding RNA, 382 nt
Organism: Frankliniella occidentalis (western flower thrips)
Lineage: Eukaryota; Metazoa; Arthropoda; Insecta; Thysanoptera; Thripidae
Exons: 3
Source: RefSeq, a predicted model, not a curated record
CUCCCUUCUUGCCUCCGGGCCCUCCAUCGGACGAGACGGCAGCAGUUUUGUCCUUUUUGUUAUUUUUGCAUCGUUUGAAAUGCCACGGGAAUCCAGAGAUCGAGUCUCAGGCUCAAAAGGAAAUUCAGGAAGACUGUCCAAUAGUUGCUGCUGUGCUUGACAUCAGCUAAGCAGCAUACGUGUCUCCCAAUGUAUGUUGACUUGGCAUCGCAGUACACAGAACAAGAAAUGGCCCUUUUUUCUCAUGAUCCAAGGAAUGAAUCUGGUAUUCAGAUUUCACCUCAAGUCCCCAGCAACCAGCAGAAAGAAGCCGGCUACUAGAGGAAGACUUACUCUUAUAAUGUAAAUGAUUUGAAACAAUAAAGAAUUUAAAAAAUGACUA